AUGGAGCACCAGAUGUUCAACGACCCGUUCACGAGCAGCAUGUCGUCACUGGAGGCGGACAUCUUCUCCGGUGGACACCACCACCUCGCGCCGUCCCUGCAGUUGCCGGGCCUAGACCUAGACCACGACAUCCCGGCGGCGCCGGCUGCCAACAACGCCACCUCCUCCGGCGGCUCGAGGUCCCACCGAAAGAUGAGCCACAGCGCGUACGAGCGCGACAGCCGCAAGCAGCUCAACGAGCAUUAUUCCAACCUUCGCUCCCUCCUCCCCGACGAUGAUCAUCACACCAGGAAGCUGGGCAAUCCGACCAUUGUGUCGCGGGUGAUCAAGUACAUCCCGGAGCUGCAGAAGGAGGUAGACGGCCUGGAGAAGAAGAAGGAGCAGCUGACGCGGGCCAGCUGCAGGCCGGGAGAUGGCACGGCUCCUAUCGUCUCCGCCACCUGCCUUGACGACAGGGAAAUCAUGGUCCAGGUCAGCCUGCUGAACACCAUGGCCGGUGCGCUGCCCAUGUCCAAAUGCAUCAAGGUGCUGGAGAACCAAGGCCUCUGCCUCAUCAGCUCGUCCGCUUCGGCUUUUCAGAACAGGACCUUCUACAGCCUUCAUCUUCAGGUACACACAUGGAUCUUCUGA
RNAcentral lists this ribosomal RNA (630 nucleotides) under Triticum aestivum (bread wheat). RNAcentral's name for it is "partial small subunit ribosomal RNA". Lineage: Eukaryota; Viridiplantae; Streptophyta; Magnoliopsida; Poales; Poaceae. The record is from RNAcentral.